UCCGCAUUGGUCCAGUGGUCAGGAUCCUACGCUUUCACCGUGGUGGCCAGGGUUCGAUUCCCUGAUGCGGAG
This is a non-coding RNA of Powellomyces hirtus, 72 nucleotides long. Lineage: Eukaryota; Fungi; Chytridiomycota; Chytridiomycetes; Spizellomycetales; Powellomycetaceae. The record is from the annotation of a GenBank genome assembly.